UUUCUGUUAACGCUCGACGGUUUCCUCAAAGGAAUGAAAUGGGAAUCCGGACGGGAGAGAUACCCCAAAGCCGGAGCUGCCCCCGCAACUGUGAGCGGUUAGCUUUCCAUCAAAUGCCACUGGGAUUUCUCCUGGGAAGGCGAUGGAGCGUAAGUCCGCGAGCCAGGAGACCUGCCGUCAGUCGUGGUCACGC
This 193-nucleotide non-coding RNA is filed under the name Candidatus Filomicrobium marinum. Lineage: Bacteria; Pseudomonadati; Pseudomonadota; Alphaproteobacteria; Hyphomicrobiales; Hyphomicrobiaceae. The record is from RNAcentral. RNAcentral also lists the same sequence under 1 other name.